UAUCGUGGUUCUGCGGUCUUUUUCACGGCUAGCUCAACCCCACGGCAGUCAAGGCCAAUUCGAUGCGAUCCCCGCGAUUUUUCAGCGACUCCAAAGUAACACAAUGAUCGCAAGUGGCACUGUGACGAGAUCGAAAUCGAGAGAGCGAUGAAAGAGCAAAAAAAAAGGCCAUAAUCAUCUGGCCACACGGCGCAAAGAGAGAGUCGGAGUUUAGUGGCAGCGGCGUUGCCACUACGGCCGAUCGCGUUGCGGGAUUUUUAUUGGCGCGUUAUUCAAAUUUUGAAAAAUAACUUCUAUGUUAGCCUGACUUUUACUGCUCUGCAU
Molecule: non-coding RNA, 324 nt
Organism: Drosophila melanogaster (fruit fly)
Lineage: Eukaryota; Metazoa; Arthropoda; Insecta; Diptera; Drosophilidae
Source: Ensembl